Molecule: long non-coding RNA, 675 nt
Filed under: Salvator merianae (Argentine black and white tegu)
Lineage: Eukaryota; Metazoa; Chordata; Lepidosauria; Squamata; Teiidae
Description: lncRNA (ENSSMRG00000001486.1)
Source: RNAcentral
GGAGGAAGGCAUUGAUGCUUUCCCCAUAGACCCUACAGGCUUCUGGUUGGAGCCAUAAGGAAAUGAGAGGAAGAAUUAGCCUGUUUGUGUGACUGGGCUCCUGUAAAUAUUUUGAUACAUCUGCUGCCAGCUCCGGUCUAAGGGAAUCUACCUAGCAUUUAAAUUUUGAUGGGGAGCUGUUUUGAAUAAUAAGAGUGCAGCCGGCUGUGAGUCAGUGUGCAUGUGUGUUGACUGAAGGGAAGGGAGUGAAAGGGGGGGGGGGCUCAAAAGCUUUAACGUUUGCUGAACGGCGAGCUGCAGUGCUUCGCUUUUGCCUCCCUCCUCCUUUUUAGCUAGUAGAUAUUCCAAACAGAUUUNUGUGUGUGUGUGUGUGUACGCGCGCGCGCGCCUGUCUAUGUUCACUGGGAGGAGGGCGGAAUUAAAGAAAAAUAUAUAGCCCUUCACCCAGUAGCCGUUGCAAUGGGUGCUGUAAUGGGCACGUUUUCUUCUCUGCAAACCAAACAAAGAAGACCCUCGAGAGUUCUCUCACCAUAUUUCAUGGAUAUAUAGCACGAUGUCUUUUGGAAGCUACCUGUGUCUNUGCAUGGAAGCUGACUUCCAGGUUGCCACUCAUCAAAGUGACCUGGCUGGUGGCAAAGAACACUGGUCUGCCAAGCCAGCCAGGCUGCACCAGUG